CACAAAUGAGUUCUUUCGAACACCUCACAAGUGUGACAAGUUUGCAUAUCUAUUACCUCAAUUUGCAUCCUUAUGUCUAAGAGAUGUCAUUAAAUGAGAUGAUUCAAGUUAUUGGUUGUAUUUAUUCUUCACCCAUAUCCCCUCAUUCAUUGAUGAUAUGGGUUCAAGGGUGGUUAGGGUUUGCAACCCCCAACUCUUGAUUAAAUCAUGGAAUAUAUGCAACACCCAUCAUAAAUAACUAAUUAGGAGAAUAAGUAGCUAACACCCAUGCACUACCACAACCUAAGCAAGCAUAACCUCAAGAUUUAAAAUUAGCUACUCAUAGACAAAAAAGGUAGAAAUAUACCAAAGUUAUCAUUGACUUCUUCCAUGAGAAAUAAAGAGAAUGUAAUUCCAAACUUGGAAGUUCAAUAAAUCUUCAAUAGAAAAUCACUAAUUCUUCCUUGGGAAUCACUCACAUAUAUUUGUUACUCAAGAUUAGUACAAUGUUCUUCUAAGAUAAAAAGAUGGUUGCUAAGAUGAAAAGAUAGAAGCUAGGAUGGGAAAAAGAAGCUAGGUCUUGAAAAAUGAGCUAAAACCCUCUUUUAAGCUCCAAUUCUACAUUUGUUGAAAAUUAUAAAAAUGCCACCUUGCUCUUGAUCUGCUUGAGCGGUUCCAAAGCGGAUGGAGAGUAGAUUGAUAGCAGCUCCAAAGCAGAUGACUCUUUUCCUUCACAUUUGGCCUCUUGUUGACUUGAAUGACUUUCCCAUCUUCCCAACUUUCAACUACAUAAAUGUGCAUUAAGUAAGAAUUACCAUCAAAUCAGCGGAAAAGCAUGAUAAUUUAGGCUUAAAAGGUGCUAGCAAGUUUAUCAACCCCCAAACUUAAACUAUUGCUAGUCCUCGAGCAACCAAGAUUAAUUCAAUGAGAUAGGUUAUUUAACUCAAAUCCUCUCAGAAGAAAGCUAUACCAAAGGAAUAAGCUUACAAAGCUCUACAAACACUUUCCAAACAUGUCAUGGCAACAAACAAACCAAAGCUUUUCAAUAAACACAUAUUUAUGAAGCAAGGAUGCAAGUUUGUAUCAAAUGAACUUUCCAAAUCACAAAACAUCUUAAGAUAAGACACAAAAUCAUCAAAGAUUGUCUCAAUCUUCACAAUGCAACUUACUUCACUCAUUUACCCAAAACCGAUAAUAAAACGUCACCCUCUACCUAAAAGUACCGAUGCCGCUCACAUGCAAGAGUUAGCUCCACACACAAAAGACAUUUCAAUUCUUAAGGGAGCUCAAAUAAAGAAAGAAUUCACACUCACUCUCACAAAGAAAUUCAAGUACAUCGAAUAGUACCAUAUGCUUGCCCUUUUUUUUUUUCGCCACUAAUGUAGACUUAGUUUGGAAUCACCAAGAUCUUGCGGGUCAAGAUGAAGGUUUAAGGUGCGGGAAGGAAUAUAUAUGGAUCAAGUGACUAAAAGACCUCCUUCAAUGCAAUCGCUCAAUCCUUUCUAUCCCCAAAAUUUUCAAACUACCCACCUUAUUCUUCUUCAGAUCAUUUCCCUAUAUUUUCCUAACUUUUUGUUCAACAUUCACCAAACAAGUCAAAGCCACCAUUUUCUUUCUUCACUUCUUUGACCUUUUCAGGAGAUUUUCUAUCUAUAAGCCCUUCUUAGCCCCUCACUCAUCCAAAUUUCUCUUUUUUUUUUUGUUUCAAGUUCUAUGGGAUAGGUUAUUCAACUUUAUCAUCAAGCACAUCUCUUGUCUUUUAAGCACAUGUAUUGACAUCCUUACAUACACCUUGUCUUUUCUUUGAUCAUCUUCUCCCAAAUACACAACCCUCCAAACUUAGGCUUUUGCCUCUAAUCCAUUAUUUAGAAUAUUGCAACGCAUCAAAGUAGGUUAAGUGCCAAAAGAGAGAUUUUCAAAAGAGUUUAGGUGUUUUAGCAUGGUUAUCAUUACAAUAAGAAAGAAAGACGAGCAAAGAGGGCCAAAUGGGUUAACUAGGAAACAAUGUUAAGGUAGGAAUUUGGCUAUGUGACGGGUCAAAAAGGGCUUCGAGUCAUCCUCCAAACCAAACUUGCCUAGAAUUUCGCUUGGAAUACACCAAGUUCUAGACUACACAUAUGUACAAGAAUUAUUCAAAAAUCUCAUCACACAUGGCAUCGCACUCAUAGGGCAAAAAGAUAGUCUCCCAACCAAUUUGAGCAAUUUGAGCUUCAUAAGUUACUCCAAGUCAAAGACUCAUCAUUGUAAAGAGAGAAUCGAAAAUUGAGUUUAAUGGUCUCCUUCAAAAGAAAGCUCAUGAACAUCCUUGAUCUUUUUUCAAAAAGAAAACUAUAUUUUGGGUUUUUUCUCAAAAUCAUUCCAUUUCUUGCCAAUGAUAUUUUGAAAGUAUUUUCGAACUUUUGCUUCUUCCUAGUUAACCAUAAUGACUAGAUACUUCACCUAAGGAUGUCGCCUCGUCAUCCCUCAUGGGUGAAUUAUCACUCGGUUCGACAAAGAAACUAAACUAAAAUAAAAAUAAAAGAUCAAAAGAAAGAAAAUGAAAUUUUGCUCCUUAGGAAAGAAUCGAGUUUUGAAGAAAAUCCUUGGAGUUUAUUAGACACGUAUAUACAAAAGGUGACAAGAGCAAUGCGCACAAUCGGAUACCACAUUUAUAUUAAGCGCAUGACACAAAUUCAACAACAAAAAGACAAUAUUUGACAUCAUUAUCAAAAUGCCCGACAAGGGCCCAUCCAAAGCAAUGCCAAUAAUAAUAAAAAACAAUAUAAGCCCCACAAGGGCUAAAGUAAAUAAACAUGACAAAAUGUAACGUGUACACACAAACAACAAAGUGAUAACAUAGAGUAUGUCCAUAUAAUCUGUCUAACCAAAUGCCAUAAAGUGAAAUAGUAGGUACCGACCAUCAAAUGAAUCAUAAAAAUGCCCCCCCCUAAAGACAUUGCAUUGGGGAGUAAAAGAGAGUAGAGGAGGGUAAAGAUUCCCUGUGGCGCGCUAGGCACUCGGAUCUGGCGGUGAAGGAUCGUACUGUCUCAAUAGGAACCUCGUCAAACUGGGCUCCUCUCAUCGAGUCUACUGUGAAGGGUGACUCAUCAUUACGUCGAGUGCUAGAACUAGCCCCAACCAUCCGUGCAUGCUCAUCAUCCCUAGAUAAUUGCAAGGUGAGCUCAACUUGUCGGGCCUCAGGUAGCCCCUCUAUAAGAUCUACCUUGGCUUCAUCAUCAGUGUCUUCAUGACCCUCUCCGAACAAAUCAUCAAAUGGAAGCAUUAUCUAUGUUAUGUCAUCUGCUUCUGUGCUGUACUAUGUGUUUGUUUGAUAUCUCGUAACUUGAGCCGGGGGUCUUUCGGAAACAGCCUUUCUACUUCAUCAGAGGUAGAGGUAUGGACUGCGUACAUCUUACCCCCCCCAGACCCCACAAAGUGGGAAUACACUGGGUUUGUUGUUGUUGUUGUUGUUGGAAGCAUUGGGCCAGAAGCCUCCGGAGGAAAAACAAUCUCCGUCUCAUCAAGACCGAAGGAGGGCUGUCCGGAGUGAAACUCUGCCCGUAAACUAUCAAGAUCUGCCCUCACAGAUGUCACCCCCUUACAAUCUCCUCUCGCCUCAAGCAUGGCCACUCUCUGCUCUAACUUUGCUAUGCGGGCACGUAGAGAUUCUAUAGCAACUUGAAUAAAUUGAGGAAUGUCCGCCACCAAUCGGGUAAGAGUAGCAUUUUUUGCCAAAGUCAUGGAAGCAACCUUGGCAAACGUCAUUGUAGAAGACCAUGCCGAUUGUGUGGGCCGAGGUGGUGGUGCGGUGCUUGAUGAUGGAGGAGUAUCGGUAGAAUCAUGAUGAGUCUCAGCAUCAAGUGUAGAAUUCGGAGGGAUCUCCAUUCCCUCGGCAACCCUUUCGCACCCGAGUCUACCAAAACCAAAGCUUUUCUCUUUAUGCUCGUAGGGUUAUCCUUAUCCUUGCAAUGUGUGAUGUCAAUGACUCCGGUGCAUAUAACCCGUCUAUCAAUCUUAGAGAGUAGCGGUUCUUUGAACUCAAGGCAAAGCAUAGAUAUGAGUGUCGGAAAGGGCAAUAAAGUGCCCGGUUGCUUUGACCUUAACUUCAUCAUCUCCCUGGACAAUUCUCCUGGAUUGAUAGCGAUUUUAUCAAUGAUACAUCUGACAAUGAUAGCCCUAUCUAUCGUGACAUCUUGGUCAUUUCUUGAGGGGAGUAGACGGUUACCAACAAAUCCAAGCCAAUGUUUGGCUUGAACCGAAAGAUCUCUCCUCUUGAUCGGAAGGUCAACUUUCACCAAAACAUCAUACAACACACAAACGAACUUUUUGAUUGAACGAUCGGCCAUUAGAAGCCUCAUAGUGGUAGGCUUAGGAGCACCCAAGCCUAAUUUUCGAAACACGACAAAUACAACAACAACAACAUACUCGGUGUAUUCCCACAUAGUAGGGUCUGGGGAGGGUACAGUGUACGCAGACCAUACCAGUACCUCAGAUGAAGUAGAGAGGCUGUUUUUGAUAGACCCACGGCUUAGGACCUAUAGCAGUAUAACAAACACAAAUCAUAAAUGCAUAUAAACUCGUACUGUCUGCAAAAUAAUACUACAACCUCAAGAUAAUACUAAAACUCAUGCACAAGAAACUUCAGAUACAAAUAAAGAACGCUCUUCUAUUGUUACCGACACUCUCUCCCCCUAUCCCUCUACCCUAAUCCGUGCUCUCCACACCUUCCUAUCAAGGGUCAUGUCUUUCGUAAGCUGUAACUGCUCCAUAUCAUGCCUAAUCAUCUCUCUCCAAUAUUUCUUCGGCCUACCCCUACCCCGCCUAAAACCAUCUAUAGCCAGUGUCUCACCUCCGCAUUGGAGCUUCAGAGCCCCUUCUCAUCACAUGCCCGAACCAACGUAACCUUACUUCUCGCAUCUUGUCCUCCAUCGAGGCCACUCCCACCUUCUCCCGAAUAAUCUCAUUCCUCACCCUAUUUUUCCUGGUAUGGCCACACAUCCAUCGCAACAUCGUCAUCUCCGCCACGUUCAACUUUUGGAUAUGGGAGUUCUUAACUGACCAAUACUCCGCUCCGUACAACAUAGCCAGCCGGACUACUAUUCUGUAGAACUUCCCUUUAAGCUUCUGGGGCACCUUCUUAUCACAUAAAACUCCCAAAGCGAGCCUCCAUUUUAACCACCCGGCCCCCGAUGCGUGUCAUCCUCGUUAAUUUCACCAUUGCCCUGAAUCAUAGACCCCAGAUACUUGAAACUCCCCUUCUUCUGAAUGACUUGAGAGUCCACUCCAUAACUACGCCAGCCUCCUGCGACACAUCACUAAACUUACACUCUAAGUACUCCAUCUUGGUCUUACUUAGCCGAAAUCCUUUAGGCUCAAGGGUCUGUCUCCAAAUCUCUAACUUGUCAUUAACUCCUCCCCGAGUCUCGUCGAGCAGUACCACAUCAUCAGCAAAUAACAUACACCAAGGCACCUCCCCUUGAAUAUGUCGUGUCAAAACAUUCAUCACCAAGGAAAAUAAAAAAGGGCUAAGAGUCUAUCCUUGAUGCAACCCUAUCAAAAUAAGAAAGUGCUCCGAAUCUCCACCCACCAUCCUCACCCGAGUCUUCUCGCCAUCAUACAUGUCCUCUUAAUCAACCUAGUGUACGCCACAGGCACCCCUCUAGCCUCCAAGCACCUCCACAGAAUCUCCCCGGGAACUCUGUCAUAAGCUUUCUCAAGAUCAAUAAACACCAUGUGCAAGUCCUUCUUCCUUUCCCGAAACUGCUCCACUAAUCUCCUCACAAGGUGAAUGGCCUCAGUAGUCGAACGACCUGGCAUGAAACCGAACUAAUUCGAAACACGACAAAUGGCAUCAAUUAAUACUUGCCCCAAGAUCACACAACCCUUUUCCAAAUUUGUACAUGCCGAUAGUGCAAGGAAUAGUAAAUGCACUCGGGUCUUCUUUCUUCACCACCAUUGUGCUAGACAUUAUAGCACUACAAUUGUGGGUUACCUCAAUUGUUUUAAAAUCCAUGACUCGCUUCUUUGUAACCAAGUCCUUCAUAAAUUUAGCAUACCUGGGCAUUUCUUGUAAGGCUUUUAGCAAAGGAAUAUUCACCGAUAAAUUGCUAAAUUUUGCUAAAUUUCACAAGAAACUUCUUGAACUUGGUAUCAUCAUCCUUAUUCUUGAGCCUUUGUGGGAAUGGGGGAGGAAUUUUGAUUUGUGAUAAUGGAACAAUUGGAGUUUCAUCCGCUUUGGAGUAUCAUCAUCAACCACCUUAGAAGCUUUCUUACUUUUAAUAUUUUCUUCAACUACCUUCGGCCGUUCAACACUUGUCUCAUUAGGCUUUGGAUCAUCAUCAUUUGGCUCUUCUAUCCGCUUCUCUUUACAUUGGCUUGUUCUUCAUUUCCCUUUUCAUUGGUGUCUUCACCAAGAUCAACAUCUUUACUAUGAGUCUGACCACUCCUAGUGACAAUAGCCAUGAUGUGAGCAUCAUUCUUAGGAUUGACAAUCGUGUCACUAGACAAUCCACCCUUUGGUCUUGCAUUAAGUUGUGCCGAGAUUUGGUCCAAUAGAGUUUCAAGUUGCUUGAUAGAGGCCGAGUGAGAUGUCACCAUUUGAUUGAGUUGUGAGAAGUCACCUUUCAUCUCUCUCACCAUCUUGUCGGUCCCCUCAACACCCAUUAAAAUCUGAGCAAGGACAUCUUCAUUUUUUAGCUUAUCCGGGUCAAUGGAACUUGACACUUUACCCUUUGCUCGAUCAUGUGGAGGCACGUACCGGUCAUAAUCUCUCUCCUCAUCUCUCCAAUCCCAAUCUCUAUCACGAUCUCUUUCCUUCCAACCUUGAUUCCCGCCUUGCCUUUGAUAGGUAGGGUGAAAACCCCCCGCUUGGUUUGACAAGAACCGAAUCUCUUCAUCAAGGGCCUCCGUUUCCUCAUAUCAUAAGCUCUAGCACUCUUAGAAGCAACGACAUUGACCGCCUUAGGAGGAGCUCCCAUCACAUGCUUGGUGAGAAGAUCAAGUUGUGUCAUCUCUUUGGCCAUAUUUGCAUCUCUUUCUUCAUCCUUUUUCUUUUGCUCUUAGCUUAUAAAAGGUGCGGAGGGAGCCCCCACGGCCACCUCGGUAUCUCUUGUGUGCCACCCUCUACUUUGCUUGGUCACUUGAUCUAACAAAAUCGACGCAACACCAUAUGAUAGUUUGACAAGAGAACCCCUCGGCCGCAUUAUCGACUACCAUCUUAUUCAAUUGAUCCAAUGCCCUGUAGAAAAUUUGAAGAAACAUUUUAUCCGGAACCUCAUGAUUUGGGCAUUGUAUUAACUUGUUAUUGAAUUGUUGCCAAGCCUUAUAUAACGGUUGGCCAUUAAGUUGGCGAAAGUUGGUGAUUUCAUCCCUUAGUUGCAACAUUCGAGAAGGGGAAAAAUAUCUUUCCAAAAAUGCCUCUGUGAGCUCACUCCAUGAAGUGAUAGAUCCCGCGGACAAAGACCGCAACCAUAAGACCGCUUCUCCCGUCAAAGAGAAUGGGAAAUGACGUAACCGGAUUGACUCUUGACAUAUGUGGGCUAUGUCAAAUGGAGAACACACAUCAAUAAAAUUCUUCAAGUGUAGAUUAGCAUCCUCAUCUUGGCCUCCAAAUAACCCUUUCAUUUGAAGCUAAUGAAGCAUCACGCUAGUAAUGUGAAACACUCCAUUUCCUUCCGCCGGUGGAAUACAAAUAGCACUAGCUCGGCCCACAUCACCGAGGUGAUCCGCAUCCUCAAGAUACCCAUCAACCGUCCCGGCAUUACUAUCGUAUUGGCUCAUAGUAUCGUGUAUACUAUUAUACGCACCUGAGAAAGAAUGGAAACACCAAACAAUGUAAAAUAAAACAUUACGACUAACCUAAAGUAACUAAAAACACUACUAGAGUGAAAACUAUGUUUCACUCCCCGGCAACGACGCCAUUUUUGAUAGCGCUCAAAUUACACUCUUGAAUGGGUGUAAGAGAUCGUUGUCAAUACAAUAACCCAACUUAGGUUGGGGUCGAAUCCACAAGGAGUGAAAACAUGGAAUUCAAAACCCAAGAGUGUUGAUAGUUUACUAAAAGGUGCCCCGUAAUGUGAAUGAAACAAGCAUAAAUGUAAAAUGGGGAUAUUAGUUUGAAUGUGCUUAUAACGACAACUACUUCAAUUUUAGAGCACUAUCUUAACGUUGAAAAAUGCUAAAGUGAGUUCAAUUGGGAAUAGGCCUUGGGGUUAUGCAAUUUUAGGUGUGGGUUCAUGCAUGGGUACUUGACACUUUAUCCAACUUUAGCUAAAAGUCAUGGGUAGGCUAGAUGUCAAUGUAUUGAUGUCAAUCUUUAAAUUACGACACCAAAUUUCACAAAUGGAUUCUUUCGAACACCUCACAAGUGUGACAAGUUUGCACAUCUAUUUUCUUAAUUUGCAUCCUUAUGUCUAAGAGAUGUCAUUAAAUGAGAUGAUUCAAGUUAUUGGUUGCAUUUAUUCCUCACCCAUAUCCCCUCUUUCAAGGAUGAUAUGGGUUUAAGGGUGGUUGGGGUUUGCAACCCCCAACUCUUGAUUAAAUCAUGGAAUAAAUGCAACACCCAUCAUAAAUAACUAAUUAGGAGGAUAAAUAGCUAACACCCAUGUACUACCACAACCGAAGCAAGCAUAACCUCAAGAUUUAGAAUUAGCUACUCAUAGACAAAAAUGGUAGAAAUAUACCAAAGUUAUCAUUGACUUCAUCCAUGAGAAAUAAAUUGAUUUAUGUUCCAAACUUGGAAGUUCAAUAAAUCUUCAAUGGAAAAUCACUAAUUCUUCCUUGGGAAUCACUCACAUAUUUUUUUUACUCAAGAUUAGUACAAUGUUCUUCUAAGAUGAAAAGAUGAGUGCUAAGAUGAAAAGAUAGAAGCUAGGAUGGGAAAAAUAAGCUAAAACCCUCUUUUAAGCUCCAACUCUACAUUUGUUAAAAAUUACAAAAAUACCACCUUGAUCUUGAUAUGCUUGGGUGGUUCCAAAGCGGAUGGAGAGCAGAUGGAUAGCAACUCCAAAGCAGAUGCGAGGCGGAUGCGAAGCGGAUGACUCUUUUCCUUCACAUUUGGCCUCUUGUUGAUUUGAAUGACUUUCCAAUCUUCCCUUUUUAACUUUCACCUACAUAAAUGAGCAUUAAGUAAGAAUUACCAUCAAAUCAAUGGAAUAGCAUGAUAAAUUAGGCUUAAAAGGUGCUAGCAAGUCGUCAAAUUGACGAUUUAUCAUCUCUUUAUGGACUAAAGCAAGCACUCUGUUCUACAAGAAAAAUGGAUCACUGAUGGUGUUCCUAGCUGUGUAUGUUGAUGAUGUUAUCCUAGCAGGAACGAAUUUGGAAGGAAUGGUAUUGCUUAAGAGUUAUCUCCAUGAGACAUUCAAGAUCAAAGAUCUUGAACAUUUACACUAUUUCUUGGGCAUGGAGGUACUUGACACAGAAGGAGGUGGCAUUAUUCCUCAGAGGAAAUUUACCAUGGACCUGCUCAAAGAAUACAACUGUUUUGACUAUAGUUCCGUGUGUUCACCACUUGAUUCUACUAUCAAACUAAGAGCUAAAGAAGGGGAUCCUCUGCCAGAUCCUACAUACUACAGGAAGCUUAUAGGCAAGCUGAAUUUUCUCACCAAUACAAGGCUAGAUAUAGCAUUUAGUGUGCAGCAGUUAAGUCAGCAUAUGCAAGAUCCAAGAAUAC
Molecule: long non-coding RNA, 9628 nt
Filed under: Capsicum annuum
Lineage: Eukaryota; Viridiplantae; Streptophyta; Magnoliopsida; Solanales; Solanaceae
Description: long non-coding RNA (CANN_LNC012645)
Source: RNAcentral